Molecule: ribosomal RNA, 293 nt
Filed under: uncultured bacterium
Lineage: Bacteria
Description: partial 16S ribosomal RNA
Rfam family: Bacterial small subunit ribosomal RNA
Source: RNAcentral
AACGAACGCUGGCGGCAGGCCUAACACAUGCAAGUCGAACGUGAAGCCAUCCUUCGGGGUGGUGGAAAGUGGCGAACGGGUGAGUAACGCGUGGGAACCUGCCCUUCGGUACGGAAUAACCACUGGAAACGGUGGCUAAUACCGUAUGCGCCCGGCAACGGGGAAAGCUUUAUGCGCCGAAGGAGGGGCCCGCGUCCGAUUAGCUUGUUGGUGAGGUAACGGCUCACCAAGGCUCCGAUCGGUCGCUGGUCUGAGAGGAUGAUCAGCCACACUGGGACUGAGACACGGCCCAG